UGGCUUUUAUUUUGAAGUAUUUGCUUUUACUUUUGGGUCACAUAACUUCCUGUCCAUCGUCCCUCAGAAGGAAAAAAAGGCAAAAUAAAUAGUCAAAACAAAAAAAAAAAGUAUAAACGUUUUCACGGAAACAGGAAUGACAGGAAAUGCGCGUUUUAAAGAUGCGAAGAAGACGAUGUUAGCACAGGAAAUGACUCAUGUUUUGCUAUCUACGCCCGUUGUUAGCUUAGCACGUUAGCUGCUGUCAGACGGGUGUGUGCGGGGCAAACAUGUCAGCAGCUGCUGCUGAUGAAAGAAGUUCCCUCCGAGCAGCAGCAGUGCAGCUCCAGUGUGGACCAGGAGGAGGCGCCAGAGCACCCCCACAUUAAAGAGGAAGAGGAGGAAGUGAUAGAAACCUGAUUCCUCACAGCUUCAUCAUCACAGUCUCACUGAGGACAACAGAGACCACUGUGGACCACAAGAACCAGAACCAGCCAGCAGCUCAGGUCCACGGGGUCCUGAGGACCAGACUGAAGACAGUGACGAUGACGGGAAGGAGACGAGUGAAGCAUCCUCUGUAAGUGAAGACAGUGAGGACGAUUGGACAGAGACGAGUGAAGCACCAGUUUUAAAAACAGUUUCCAGUGAAGUGAGAGGAAACUCAGCUGUAGCUGCAGCAACAGUCAGUCACACUCUCUGACUGCAGGAAAAGCCACAACAGCAGGUCCAGUCUGAAAACUCAGCACAUGGCUGUGUCGCCUGUGGCAGAAUUUUUACCCAUAAGUCUCAGCUGCAGACUCAUACGCUCACACACACACACAACAGGGGGCGGAGCUUGUUCAUCCGUGAGUGAUUUGAAUGAUUGUGAUUUCAGACGUGAUGUCAAAUCUUCAUGAAUGAAAGCAUGAAAAUUCAUUUUGUUCACUUUUGUUUAUUCAACUUUUUAUAAAAGUAUCAGAAAAACUGACAACGUCAUCUGUUACCGGGUCAAACUGUCCUGAGCUGCAGCUGUGACAAGUCACUCUGUGAUUGGAGGAAAUGAGUGUGAUGUCAUUGUCUGGUCAUGUGACCAAACUAAAGCAGACUAAGAGGAUUAUUGUGUUUCCGUCUGGAGCUGAACUUCGUUUUUACACAGAAGAAGAAACAGCAAGGCUCUGACUGGAGGGUUGGUUGGGUGGUUGAUUGAUUGAUUGGUUGGUUGGGUGGUUGUUUGGUUGGUUGGUUGAUUGAUUGAUUGGUUGGUUGGUUGAUUGAUGAGGCUGACUGUGUUCCUGCUGCUCUGCUGCGUCUCGUUGUUGCACAGAGUUGACUGUCAUUUACCUGACGUCACACGUGUGAUGCGUCCACUGCAGGAAGAACAGAAUGAAGGAGGCGUGGCCUCUGGGUCAAACGUUGUCAGAUCUGCGAUGACAAAUGACGUCGCUCGACUUCCCGGACUCUGUCGACGUCUGAAGAGACGCAGAGUCACCGUCCUG
Long non-coding RNA from Solea solea (common sole), 1454 nucleotides. RefSeq lists it as uncharacterized. NCBI's taxonomy places the organism in Eukaryota, Metazoa, Chordata, Actinopteri, Pleuronectiformes, Soleidae. The record is from RefSeq and is a predicted model, not a curated record. The transcript is spliced from 3 exons.